GUUUAUCCAUAUCUGGAAAUUCAGGGCUACUCUCACAGAGUUACAUUGCCUCAUUUUGAGACAUUGGCAUGAACAGAUCAGGAAAGGUAAGAAGGGGAAUGACCUUAUGGGAACUCCAGAAAAUCCAAGGUCAUCAAACAUUCCAUUUUACAUCAUCUUUUAAUGCCUGUAACAUGAGAAGGGCCUGGGGCCUGGCAGCAUUUGCUUGAAGAAGUCUAUCUGAAAAACCUGGUGUUUGUUCUCACACGAUGGCCGUGUUUCAACAUGAUGACAGCCAAAACUGCAAGAAUACAGCAAGAACCCUUAUACAGCAAGAACAAACAUGGUCCCUUCCCUUAAACCAUAAACCAUGUAAUUACAACAAAGCAAUACAAAUGGACUGUGCAUGCUCAUUCCAGAUUUGUAACAGUGGUUAGAGAUUGCAAAAGAAACAGAGUAACAGAUGUACA
Molecule: long non-coding RNA, 449 nt
Filed under: Crocodylus porosus (Australian saltwater crocodile)
Lineage: Eukaryota; Metazoa; Chordata; Crocodylia; Crocodylidae
Description: lncRNA (ENSCPRG00005013477.1)
Source: RNAcentral